AACGCACAUUGCGCCCGCCAGUAUUCUGGCGGGCAUGCCUGUUCGAGCGUCAUUACAACCCUCAGGCCCCCGGGCCUGGCGUUGGGGAUCGGCGGAGCCCCCCGUGGGCACACGCCGUCCCCCAAAUACAGUGGCGGUCCCGCCGCAGCUUCCAUUGCGUAGUAGCUAACACCUCGCAACUGGAGAGCGGCGCGGCCACGCCGUAAAACACCCAACUUCUGAAUGUUGACCUCGAAUCAGGUAGGAAUACCCGCUGAACUUAA
Molecule: unclassified non-coding RNA, 263 nt
Filed under: uncultured Fusarium
Lineage: Eukaryota; Fungi; Ascomycota; Sordariomycetes; Hypocreales; Nectriaceae
Description: sequence contains ITS2
Rfam family: 5.8S ribosomal RNA (bases 1-52)
Source: RNAcentral